GUACCCUCAAGCUUUGCUUGGUGUUGGGUGUUUGUCUACGCAUUUGUGUAGACUCGCCUUAAAUCAAUUGGCAGCCGGCAUGUUAGCCUGGAGCGCAGCACAUUUUGCGCACCUUGUUAGCUAUUGUUGGCCCCCAUCAAGACUAUAUAUUUGC
RNAcentral lists this unclassified non-coding RNA (154 nucleotides) under uncultured Leptosphaeria. RNAcentral describes it as "sequence contains ITS2". The record is from RNAcentral. Lineage: Eukaryota; Fungi; Ascomycota; Dothideomycetes; Pleosporales; Leptosphaeriaceae.